CCCAUGGGUACAUGAAGGACUCAAAGUGGAAAAGGAAAACGGAAGUGCAAAGUUAAGGUUAGAGUACUGUGGUGGCGUGCCAGAGUAAAUAACGAUCGACCGACCAGUGAAAAUAGUUAGAGACACCUCUGAACAAAUAGCGAUUUAAUAUCUCGUUGUUGCCAGGGUUUGUUAAUUUACGACAAUAUGGCCAAAUGUCGAGAGAUAGACCACAGCUUGAUGGCGAUGGUGCUCAAUAGAGAGUUGAUAAAGCUUGUACAGUUCAGAGAUCUGAGAGAACUGAUGACGAUGGUGCUCAACAGAGACUUGGUAGAGUUGAGAGAGAAAGAUGACUGAGCUCAAACAGCUGAGCAUUUUUUUUUUCUCUCUGGCGAGAGGGAGAUAGCUCAAACGGCUGACCAUUUAUUUGAAACGAUGUUUUUAAGGGCAUUUUGGUCUACUCAUGCUUCUUUUUGGCUAGAAACAAAUAACUUUAUA
This is a non-coding RNA of Theobroma cacao (cacao), 477 nucleotides long. The record is from RefSeq and is a predicted model, not a curated record. Lineage: Eukaryota; Viridiplantae; Streptophyta; Magnoliopsida; Malvales; Malvaceae.